GAGAGUUAAACAGUACGUGAAAUUGUUGAAAGGGAAACGAUUGAAGUCAGUCAUACCAACGGGAAAUCAACCUUUUGAGCUCGGUCUCGUGGGUUUUGAAGAGUUUCAAAGCCUUCGGAUUCGCGGGAUUGGGACCUCUUGGUGUACUUUUUCGACCGGUUAGUCAACAUCGGUUUUGAAUGUCAUAAAAUGACUGGAGGAAUGUAGCUUCGAUCUCGUAUUGAAGUGUUAUAGCCUUUGGUAGAUGUGAUGUUUGAGACCGAGGAUUGCAACGGAUACCCUUCAGGGCUAUUCGUCUGAUCUCUGAUACGUUGCCCUGAUGUUGAAAGCUUGCUUAUGAUGUUAGGGUAUUACGGUCAAAAGGUUAGAACGAAUUACAUUCGUUAAGGAUGUUGACGUAAUGACUUUAAACGA
This 414-nucleotide ribosomal RNA is filed under the name uncultured Funneliformis. Its description in RNAcentral is "partial 28S ribosomal RNA". Lineage: Eukaryota; Fungi; Glomeromycota; Glomeromycetes; Glomerales; Glomeraceae. The record is from RNAcentral.